RNAcentral lists this transfer RNA (92 nucleotides) under Deltaproteobacteria bacterium. RNAcentral's name for it is "tRNA-Ser". It matches the Rfam family "tRNA". From Rfam's summary of the family: Transfer RNA (tRNA) molecules are approximately 80 nucleotides in length. Their secondary structure includes four short double-helical elements and three loops (D, anti-codon, and T loops). Further hydrogen bonds mediate the characteristic L-shaped molecular structure. tRNAs have two regions of fundamental functional importance: the anti-codon, which is responsible for specific mRNA codon recognition, and the 3' end, to which the tRNAs corresponding amino acid is attached (by aminoacyl-tRNA synthetases). tRNAs cope with the degeneracy of the genetic code in two manners: having more than one tRNA (with a specific anti-codon) for a particular amino acid; and 'wobble' base-pairing, i.e. permitting non-standard base-pairing at the 3rd anti-codon position. The record is from RNAcentral. Lineage: Bacteria; Pseudomonadati; Myxococcota; Myxococcia.
GGAGAGAUGCCCGAGAGGCCGAUGGGGCUCGCCUGCUAAGCGAGUGUGUGGGUAAUACCGCACCGAGGGUUCGAAUCCCUCUCUCUCCGCCA